AGGACGGGGUAGUAAGAGGAGUUUUGAUUCAAUACAAGGAGCAUAUCAUCGAACGCCCUUUGCAACUCGUUUGUCCACUUGAGAUCCGAAGUUGUGAGUCAGCGUCCACGAAACCAGCUGACAAUCUCGAAGCAGAAGACGAAAGGGAAACCAGGGAUCAAAGACCAACCAGAGAUGCAGCAAAGAGAGCUAAAGAACUCGUUAAAAUUAUCGCGAUGGAUGAAGAAGACAAUUGACUAGGAAGAGAACUGUAAUAUAAAAAUGAACAAUUGACAUUUUUAUAGGGGAGUGUGUGCGGGUUAACCCCCCGCGGAAUUAGGUUGAUAGAACCCCCCUGAACUAGAUCACGUGACGAACUGGUGUUGUUGUUGUUGAGACUUGAGAGAGAAUUAUAUUAUUUUAUUUCGUGAGCAUUAACUUUAUGUCGUUAUAAUUUGAUUAUUCGAGCUUUUAUAAAUAAAGUUUUUAUGUUUAAUUAUUUGUGAGUGUAUAUCGGAACGAUUCGGUAUA
Non-coding RNA from Paramuricea clavata, 510 nucleotides. The record is from the annotation of a GenBank genome assembly. Lineage: Eukaryota; Metazoa; Cnidaria; Anthozoa; Malacalcyonacea; Plexauridae.